AUUGAACGCUGGCGGCAGGCCUAACACAUGCCAGUCGAGCGAGCGGAGGACGGGUGAGUAAUAUAUGGGGAACUGCCUGAUUGAGGGGGAUAACUACUGGAAACGGUAGCUAAUACCGCAUACCAUCGGAUGUGACCAUAUGGGAUUAGCUAGUGGUUGAGGUAAAGGCUCACAAAGGAGACGAUCCCUAGCUGGUCUGAGAGGAUGACCAGCCACACUGGGACUGAGACACGGCCCAGAGUCCUACGGGAGGCAGCAGUGGGGAAUAUUGCACAAUGGGCGCAAUCCUGAUGCAGCCAUGCCGCGUGUGUGAAGAAGGCCCUAGGGUUGUAAAGUACUUUCAGUCGGGAGGCGUUAACGACAGAAGAAGCACCGGCUAACUCCGUGCCAGCAGCCGCGGUAAUAC
This 406-nucleotide ribosomal RNA is filed under the name uncultured bacterium. RNAcentral's name for it is "partial 16S ribosomal RNA". It matches the Rfam family "Bacterial small subunit ribosomal RNA", at positions 30 to 526 of the family's 1533-position model. The record is from RNAcentral.